GACGAACGCUGGCGGCGUGCUUAACACAUGCAAGUCGAACGGUGAAGCGCCUUCCUUUUUGGUGGGUGUGGAUGAGUGGCGAACGGGUGAGUAACACGUGAGUAACCUGCCCCCUUCUUCUGGAUAACCGCAUGAAAGUGUGGCUAAUACGGGAUAUUCUGGGUCUGUCGCAUGAUGGGUCUGGGAAAGAUAUUGUUUCGGUGGGGGAUGGGCUCGCGGCCUAUCAGCUUGUUGGUGGGGUGAUGGCCUACCAAGGCGGUGACGGGUAGCCGGCCUGAGAGGGUGGACGGUCACACUGGGACUGAGACACGGCCCAGACUCCUACGGGAGGCAGCAGUGGGGAAUAUUGCACAAUGGGCGCAAGCCUGAUGCAGCGACGCCGCGGGGGGGAUGGAGGCCUUCGGGUUGUGAACCUCUUUCGCCAGUGAAGCAGGCCUGCCUCGUUUGUGGGUGGGUUGACGGUAGCUGGAUAAGAAGCGCCGGCUAACUACGUG
RNAcentral lists this ribosomal RNA (494 nucleotides) under uncultured bacterium. Its description in RNAcentral is "partial 16S ribosomal RNA". It matches the Rfam family "Bacterial small subunit ribosomal RNA", at positions 28 to 507 of the family's 1533-position model. The record is from RNAcentral.